This 2849-nucleotide long non-coding RNA is filed under the name Xyrichtys novacula (pearly razorfish). Lineage: Eukaryota; Metazoa; Chordata; Actinopteri; Labriformes; Labridae. The record is from RNAcentral.
GGUUUUGCAGUUUGUAUUUUAUUGUGUAUUUUAUUUUGUACCCCCUGAUCCUCUCCUUCUUGUGUUCUGUAAUGUACAGCACUUUGUGGUACAGUUUAUGUACGAAAAGUUCUUUAUAAAUAAAGUGAUUGAUUGAUUGAUAUUAAAGGUUAGAAGUCGCUCUUUGGCUGUUUAAAUCAGUCUGUGCUCGGUGUAGAGAUUUGGCGCCAUCCAGUGGUCAGAGUGAAUACGACCUAAAAUGAGUCCCUAAAACUGGGUGAAUGGCCCCUUCAGUUAUUCAAACAAUAAAAACAUCUGGCCCCAUCACUCAUGAUGAUCCCUGAGGGUGUUUUUGUGGCAGAAGCUUUAAUCUACAUGAAGACGAUUCAGAGACAUGAAAAAGUUUAAAUUAUGAGCCACAGAGUUGAUCAAACAUAUGUCACACACAUGCACACCACUACGACUAUCCAGGUCUGCUUUCAGUUCACUCAGCUCUCUCUGUAUGUUUGUUUGUAUGAGCUGCCCAAACACAUGAAGAGUCAACAGUAUACAUUUAUUUAGAGAAAAGAAUCUUGUUAUUUUGCCUGUUCUGGUUGAUCUCUCCCUCCUCUCUCUCUCUCUCACACACAGUCGAGCCUGAAAGUGAAGCUGCCACUCAGGAGUCAAAGACAUCUGAGUUGUGGGAGGAGGCGGCGGGCGUCCUGGAAAAAUGCCUGGAAUCCAUUUUAUUCUCCUUUUGUAUGUAUGUGCGGCUGAACGCAGUUUACCAUUGUUACCAAAACAGAACUGUUGCCAAAACACAAUCUUCUAAUGAUUACUCCUUCCUUUUUUUUUUAACCACAUUUACAGAAUUUGAAGACAUGUUUUUAACUGUCAGAGCAUGCCAAGCGUUUAAAAAUGUCUCACCUGUAUGUUAAAUUACAAAAUAUGGAUACAGCAAUAUCUAUAGAUAUCAAUCAAUGUUGACAUGUCAGCUGAAUGAAUACAACAGUCUGAAUAGUUUUCUGCUAAUUUGGCUGUUUGUGUCGUGAAUACAAUCUUUAGAAAUUUGCACUUUCUUUAAUGUGAAAUACGUUUUAUUCACUCUUCAGAAGUUAAUCUGAUUUUACAAGAUAGCUCCAGAUGGUGUGAAAAAUAACAUUUAUUUUGAGAACUAAACAUUUUACUCUUUAUUUGCACACUUGCAAAGUGUGUCAGACUCAUGCACAAACUGAAAUGUGAUUGAAGAGUCAUGUGGUACUUAUUUGUGACUUUAGAUAUACAAAGUAAAAUACUUUAGUGACACAUAAAUCUAACUGCAGGAACAGUUUUCUUGGGUUAAUUUCUUUUGGUCUAAAAUGAGUUUGUUUUUUUUGCAUUUGUGAUUAAUAUAAAAAGUCUGCUUCCAUGCUCUGUCACUAUAUUUGUCUCUGAUUUUGCAGUUUUGAGGUCUAAAGUUAACUGUUUGUUCUACCAUGAAGAGUCUGAAACAAUGCAGACGUGAGCAGGACAGGGGGGGAAACCUUCAGGCUCAUAUAGGUAAUCCUGUAAAUGUGUGCAUGUGUGUGCAUGUACUGAGCUCCGAUCCUGUCAGCCUCAUAAACCUGGUCUAAAGAAAAAAAAACCCCGAGAUGUUUCAUCAGGAACCACCCAGAGAGAUGUUUGUUCUGAUGGACUUUUCCACAUUAGAGAAUCUCAAUGAAGAAGGAGCAGCUUUUGGAUUUAUUGUGCUGCCUAUAGGAAUAAUGUGUGUGUGUGUGUGUGUGUGUGUGUGUGUGUGUGUGAGUGUGAGUGUUGGGCAAAGACAGACAGGCAGUGGAAUUUGGAAUCUGCAGCAGCAUAUUUUUAUUAGUUGGGCAGCACCUUUGUCCUGUCCUAGCAUGCUUCGUGCGUGCAUGCGUGCAUGCGUGUGUGUGUGUGUGUGCGUGUGUGUGUGUGUGUGUGUGUGUGUGUGUGUGUGUGUGUGUUUGAAGAGGAGCAAAAAAAAAACAAAUGUGGCAUGAGCUCAACUCCAUGUUGGAUGCUUUGUAUCCUCCACUGUAGAUAGAAACUCUGCAGGCAGCUUCGCCUCGACUAAUAGAAACUUUUUGCAGAUGUGCUCGUGCACGAGUGCGUAACAUCGUUACACUUUAGUGCCUGUGCGCGUGCACGCUGAAGCCAGAUAGAGACGCUGCUGCAGCACCUUAACCCUUUAAUGCCUUUUGUAUCAUAUUUGAUUCAUACUUUUAAGAAUAAGAAGAACUUUAUUGAUCCCUGAAGGGAAAUUCAACUGUCUGUCGUCUAACUUGACAUGCCUCUCGAAGUUAGGUAUCUAUUAUUUACAGAAGAGUUAUAAAGUCUGAUGUCUGUUGGUACAAAAGAUCUUCUGAAUCUUUCUGUCCUGCAGUGAAGAGAGAGGAGCCGUCCACCACCAUCGGCCCUUUGGUCCAUCAGGGUGUCGUGAAGUGGGUGAUCCAUGUUCUUCAGAAUAGUCUCCACCUUCCUCAGUGUAGAUCUCUCCACCACAUCCUCCACAGAGUCCAGCCUUUUUCACCAGUUUGUUCAGACGUCUUCAUCUUUGUGUUUGAUGCUUCCUCCCCAGCAGACUGCAGCGUAGAACAGAACACUGUAGAUCUACACCACAGACUGAUAAAACAGCUGCAGCAUCUAACUACAGACGUCUAUUGAUCGGAGUCUUCUCAGGCUAAAGAGGCGGCUCUGCCCCUUUCUGUAGAUGAAGUCUAUAUUUUCUUAGACCAGUCCAACUUCUUAUCCAGAUGUACACCUAGGUAUUUAUAUGAUGUCACCACUUCGAUGUCCACUCCACAGGUGUUCACAGGUGUGUUUUAUAAACUUCUAUCAAAUCAAUAUGAUCAACAAACUACUUAAAAAAACACCCGAAUACAGUCGGA